This 4403-nucleotide long non-coding RNA is filed under the name Homo sapiens (human). RNAcentral describes it as "HSALNT0335816". Lineage: Eukaryota; Metazoa; Chordata; Mammalia; Primates; Hominidae. The record is from RNAcentral.
AGGGCGCCGGAGAGCCUGGAGCAGGGCGCCAGGAGGCCGGAGCAGGAGGAGAAGGAGUAGGAGGAAGUGGUCACUAGCGCGGCGGCCGCCGGCCCGCAAUGGUGCUACCCUGGUUGCUGCUCGAGACUGCGCGCAGGGCGGUCCUCGGGUCCGCGGAGGCUGCGCUCUGCGCACCAACUUUUAUCUGUGGAUGCAGCUACAGGGACCCAGCAUUAACACAGCUUACCCCCAGCCCCACCUACCUAUUUUAACUGUUGCCAUGAAAAUGACAGAUGAAAAUAGAAAAGUGUGGCUGGUCUGAAGGUUUGACGUCAAUAAAGGGAAACUGCCACAAUUUUUAUACUGCUAUUUCUAAAGAUGUCACUUAUAAGGAACUUAAAAACCUGUUGAAUUCUAAAAAUAUUAUGUUAAUUGAUGUUAGAGAGAUAUGGGAAAUUCUGGAGUAUCAAAAAAUCCCUGAGUCUAUCAAUGUACCAUUGGAUGAAGUAGGUGAAGCUCUACAGAUGAAUCCAAGAGACUUCAAAGAGAAGUACAAUGAAGUAAAACCAUCCAAAUCUGACAGCUAGUGUUUUCUUAUUUAGCCGGAGUGAGAAGCAAGAAGGCCCUGGACACAGCAAUAUCUCUGGGCUUUCACAGUUCUGGAGGUCAGAAGUCCUAAAUGUCAUCCUUUCCUUUCACUGGUGUGCCACAGCAAGAUGGUGGUGCAGUUUUUCAAGAAGAGGAAGUUUGUCAUUGAUGGUAUCUUCAAAGCUGAACUGAAUGAAGUUCUCAUUCAGGAGCUGGCUGAAGAUAGCUACUCUGGAGUUGAGGUCUGAGUUACACCAGCUAGGACAGAAAUCUUUACCUUAGCCACCAGAACACAGAAUGUUCUUGGUGAGAAGGGCUGGCAUAUUUGGGAAUUGACUGCUGUAGUUCAGAAGAGGUUUGGCUUUUCAGAGGGUAAAGUAGAGCUUUAUGCUGAAAAGGUGUCUACAAGAGAUAUGUGCCAUUGUCCAGGCAGAGUCUCUGUGUUACAAACCCCUAGGAGGGCUUGCUGUGCAGAAGGCCUGCUAUGGUGUGCUGCGGUUCAUCAUGGAGUGUGGGACUAAAGGCUUCAAGGUCAUUGUGUCCAGGAAACUCUGAGGACAGAGGGCUAAAUCCAUGAAGUUUGUGAAUGGCCUGAUGAUCCACAGCUGGGACCCUGUUAAUACUAUGUUGACACCGCUGUGCACCAUGUGCUGCUCCAACAGGCUGUGCUGGGCAUCAAGGUGAAGGUCAUGCUUCCCUGGGAACCAGCUGGUAAGAUUAGCCCUAGGAAGUCCCUGCCCGACCAGGGGCAGGGGACCCAUCUUUGGGUUCGUGGAACCCAAAGAUGAGAUACUCUCCACCACUCCCAUCUCAGAAGAGAAGGGUAGGAAGCCAGAGCCACCUGCCAUGUCCCAGCCAGUCCCCACAGCAUAACAGGGUCUACUUAGCAGCUGUGUCUGGAGUCUGGAUGUUGUUCUGUAAAGAACUUUAAUAAAAUCUUGUACAAAGAAAAAAGUCCUAAAGUCGUAGAUGCAUCUCACUAUGCUAAAAUUAAGGUGUCAGCAGGGCUGUAUUCCUCUCUAAAGAAUCUAGAGGAUAAUCUGUAUUCCUGCCUUUUCCAGUUUCUAGAGGUUCCCACAUUUCUUGGCUCAUGGCUCCCUUAAUCUUCAAAACCAGCCAUGGCCAGUUGAGUCUUUCUCAUGUUGUGUCACUCUAAAUUGUACCUUCUUCUUCCACAUUUAAAGUACCCUUGUGAUUACUACCCUGGGCCUACCUGGAUAAUCUGGGAUAAUUUUCUUAUUUUAAAUUCAGCUCACUAGCAACCUAAAUUCCAUCCGCAACCUUAAUUCCUCCCUGCCAUGUAACAUAACAUAUUCACAGGUUCUGGGGAUUCAGUUGAGGACAUCUUUGGAGACUAUUAUUUUGACUGCUACAGUGUCUUCAGAUUGUUAAUCAGCUCUGGCCCACAGACUUAAGUAUCUAGGCUCUUCAGCAAGUAUGUUCUUAGGGUACAAGUUGAUGUAUCAGAUUGUUAUAACUUGAUAGCACUAACUUCAACCAACUUCUAUUGAUCUAAUUUUGUACUUAUGAAGCAAUCUUUCAAUAAUAAUUUGGUUUCCCACAUUAAUUUGCCUAUGGAAAUAUAAUGCUAUGAGCAGUAAAAAAGUAUUUAAUCAAUUGGCAAUUAUCUUUAUAAAUCAAUUAAUUUGUAUUGUUUUUUCUUUUUUUUUAACUGUAAUCUCAUGACAGAUUAUAUAUUAGGUUUUUUGCAGGUUUUUUUUUUUCACAGAUGGGGGUCUCACUAUGUUGCCCAGGCUGGUCUCAAACUCCUGGGUUCAAGUGAUCCUCCUGUCUCAGCCUCCAAAAGUGUUGGGAUUUACGGGUAUGAGCCACUGCACCUGGUUGGGUUUUUAAUGUAUGAGUUUCUAUGAGCUUGAUCAAUGUAUUUACACCCAAGAGAUAGACUAGACUUAGUAAUCUGGCAGCUCAUGUUUCUGAGUCUGCAAAAAUAAAGACCAGAUCUGCAAACUCUGGGGAAGUCUAUCUGUCUAGUGGUCUUCUGAAAUGAUUGAUUUUGAGGUACUUUUCAAACUAAAGCUCAGAAUGGAUCUCACUUUCUGGCUAUAAACUGGAUACUCCCCUAACUUCUUUCAUUAUGUUAUUUAUCCCUGCAGCAUUGGCCAAUUCUCUUCUUUGUUUUUAUUCAUUUUUUUCACAUCUACAUACUAUAAUUGAACUUUUUUGGUUGCAAAGUUACUUCCAUAAAUUUACAGUUCAUUAAAAGAAGAAAUGUGGAUUGGCGCUAGAAUUGUAACUAGAAAACUGUCUGGAAUUGAGACAUACUUCUUUUUGUGUGUUUCUUGUUUUCCUGUUCCAACUGGCCUAUACUAUUUCCCCAUUCUGAGUAUUUUCUGUCUGCUUCAUAGUCUCUGCAUUGUAACUUUAGUUUGUAUGCUCUUAGUUUUUCUCUUUAACAUGAACUUUCAGCUUUAAUUCCAUUCUACUUCAUUCUCUCCUUAUUUCCUUUGUUUAUAUAGAUAGAGGUUUCACACCAAAAAAAAAAAGUGUCUAGGGCCCCACAAAACUAGGGACAGCCCUGAUGAGAACAACCAUAAUUGGCUUAGGAUGGUUGGUGGUCCUUAAUCUUGACUGUGCUUUAGACUUACUUGAGGGUGCUUCUAAAACAAUCAUCCUUUUCAGACUUGACUUCCAGACCAAAUUUCUUCUAUAGAAUAAAUACACAUACAAACAUAUUUAUAUGCCUGUGUACUUAUUUAUAUCUAAGCAAGAAGAAAUAAGUGGAAGAAUAUACAUCAAGACAUUGAAAUGAUAAUGGGAACAACCACAUGAUAAUGAGCAACAACUAUAUUAAUCAGGGUUCUCCAGAGAAGCAGAACCAAUAGGAGAUUAUAUAUAUAAUUGGCAUACUUGAUUAUAGAAGCCGAGAAAUCCCACAGCCUGCCAUCUUCAAGCUGGAGAUCCAGAAAAGCCAGUGGUGUAGUUCCAGUCCAAGCCUGAGGGCUUGACAACCAGGAGCACUGAUGUCCAAGGGCAGAAGAUAAGAUGGAUGUCCAGAUUCCAGAAGAGAGAGUGAAUUGACCCUUCCUCUGUCUUUUUGUUCUGUUUAAUCAUGCAACAGUUUGGAUGAUGCCCACCACAUUGGUGAGGGCUAUCUUCUUUACUCAGUCAACUGAUUCAAAUCUCUUCCUACUAUGUCCUUUUUCUCUUCCAGGAGAAAAAACUUCAUAGCCACACCUAGAAAUAAUGUUCUACCAGUUACCUGGGCAUACUUAGCCUAAUCAAGUUGACUUCUAAAAUUAACCAUCCAUAACAACCAAACAGUACAGUAUUUUAACCCAAAUAAUAAAAUAAAUAUACCUGGAUCUAUGCUGACAUACAUAUGUAAGUAUAUGAUUAAGUAAAUAAAUAAAUGGGUAAAAGAUAAAUCUUCCUUACUAAAGAAUUCCAAAUAAUACAUGUAGACAGUUUCCCCUCCAGAGAUGGAACUUAAAGCUUCACCCCUUGAGUAUGGGCUGAAUUUAGUGUCUUGCUUCCAAACAAUAGAUUAUGUAAAGGGAAAAAAUAGUAACUUUACAGCAGAGACACCUGGCACACACUACCUGAACAAAGCGAUCAAGGUUAGCAUCAACACUGAUAAGUCAUGUUGGUAGUAUGUAUUCCUGACAUGAUGUGAUAAGGAGAGAACUCUACCUUUACCUCUGUGGUCUUCCUCUUAAAAGUCUGUAACCCUACAACUAGUCAUGAGAAAAAAAAAAACAUCAUCAGACAAACCCAAAUUUAGGGACAUUAUACAAAACAUCUGACCAGCACUAUUCAAAAAUAUCCAGGUCAUCAAAAACAAAUAAAGACUGAGAAACUGUCACAGACUAGAGGGG